UCUUGGUCAUUUAGAGGAAGUAAAAGUCGUAACAAGGUUUCCGUAGGUGAACCUGCGGAAGGACCAUUAGUGAAUAUAGGACAUCCAACUUAACUUGGAGACCGAACUCUCACUUUCUAACCCUGUGCACUUGUUUGGGAUAGUAACUCUCGCAAGAGAGCGAACUCCUAUUCACUUAUAAACACAAAGUCUAUGAAUGUAUUAAAUUUUAUAACAAAAUAAAACUUUCAACAACGGAUCUCUUGGCUCUCGCAUCGAUGAAGAACGCAGCGAAAUGCGAUAAGUAAUGUGAAUUGCAGAAUUCAGUGAAUCAUCGAAUCUUUGAACGCACCUUGCGCUCCAUGGUAUUCCGUGGAGCAUGCCUGUUUGAGUGUCAUGAAUACUUCAACCCUCCUCUUUCUUAAUGAUUGAAGAGGUGUUUGGUUUCUGAGCGCUGCUGGCCUUUACGGUCUAGCUCGUUCGUAAUGCAUUAGCAUCCGCAAUCGAACUUCGGAUUGACUUGGCGUAAUAGACUAUUCGCUGAGGAAUUCUAGUCUUCGGAUUAGAGCCGGGUUGGGUUAAAGGAAGCUUCUAAUCAGAAUGUCUACAUUUUAAGAUUAGAUCUCAAAUCAGUAGGACUACCCGCUGAACUUAAGCAUAUCAAUAAGCGGAGGAA
Molecule: ribosomal RNA, 655 nt
Filed under: uncultured fungus
Lineage: Eukaryota; Fungi
Description: eukaryotic LSU rRNA
Rfam family: 5.8S ribosomal RNA (bases 223-376)
Source: RNAcentral